CCUACGGGAGGCAGCAGUGGGGAAUUUUGGACAAUGGGCGAAAGCCUGAUCCAGCAAUGCCGCGUGCAGGAUGAAGGCCUUCGGGUUGUAAACUGCUUUUGUACGGAACGAAACGGUUCUUUCUAAUAAAGAGAGCUAAUGACGGUACCGUAAGAAUAAGCACCGGCUAACUACGUGCCAGCAGCCGCGGUAAUACGUAGGGUGCAAGCGUUAAUCGGAAUUACUGGGCGUAAAGCGUGCGCAGGCGGUUAUGUAAGACAGUUGUGAAAUCCCCGGGCUCAACCUGGGAAUUGCAUCUGUGACUGCAUAGCUAGAGUACGGUAGAGGGGGAUGGAAUUCCGCGUGUAGCAGUGAAAUGCGUAGAUAUGCGGAGGAACACCGAUGGCGAAGGCAAUCCCCUGGACCUGUACUGACGCUCAUGCACGAAAGCGUGGGGAGCAAACAGGAUUAGAUACCCUGGUAGUCCACGCCCUAAACGAUGUCAACUGGUUGUUGGGUCUUCACUGACUCAGUAACGAAGCUAACGCGUGAAGUUGACCGCCUGGGGAGUCGGCCGCAAGGUUGAACUUAAAGGAUUGACGG
This 582-nucleotide ribosomal RNA is filed under the name uncultured bacterium. RNAcentral describes it as "bacterial SSU rRNA". It matches the Rfam family "Bacterial small subunit ribosomal RNA", at positions 338 to 916 of the family's 1533-position model. The record is from RNAcentral.